GAUGCAAGCAGGCGAGCAAGUCGAUGACCACCUGCACAGCCCACCCAGAGUGUGACAAACAAUGCAAAGGAGAGAAAGCAAAGAUGGGACUUUGCCGUGCUGAUGGUCCCAAAGGCAAAAAGUGCUGGUGCUACAUGUGUUAACAUGAAUGGGGAUUUUGUAUAACUUUCUCAACAAUAAAAUAGUUCUAAAUUUUUUUAGAGAAAUUAAAACAUCUCUCUCUCUCUCUCUC
Molecule: long non-coding RNA, 232 nt
Filed under: Prunus dulcis (almond)
Lineage: Eukaryota; Viridiplantae; Streptophyta; Magnoliopsida; Rosales; Rosaceae
Description: sRNA ncRNA
Source: RNAcentral